UAAUUGAAGAGUUUGAUCAUGGCUCAGAUUGAACGCUGGCGGCAGGCCUAACACAUGCAAGUCGAGCGGCAGCACAAGGGAGUUUACUCCUGAGGUGGCGAGCGGCGGACGGGUGAGUAAUGCCUAGGGAUCUGCCCAGUCGAGGGGGAUAACAGUUGGAAACGACUGCUAAUACCGCAUACGCCCUACGGGGGAAAGGAGGGGACCUUCGGGCCUUCCGCGAUUGGAUGAACCUAGGUGGGAUUAGCUAGUUGGUGAGGUAAUGGCUCACCAAGGCGACGAUCCCUAGCUGUUCUGAGAGGAUGAUCAGCCACACUGGGACUGAGACACGGCCCAGACUCCUACGGGAGGCAGCAGUGGGGAAUAUUGCACAAUGGGGGAAACCCUGAUGCAGCCAUGCCGCGUGUGUGAAGAAGGCCUUCGGGUUGUAAAGCACUUUCAGUAGGGAGGAAAGGGUGUAGUUUAAUACGCUAUAUCUGUGACGUUACCUACAGAAGAAGGACCGGCUAACUCCGUGCCAGCAGCCGCGGUAAUACGGAGGGUCCGAGCGU
RNAcentral lists this ribosomal RNA (551 nucleotides) under Shewanella sp. DW31. RNAcentral's name for it is "bacterial SSU rRNA". It matches the Rfam family "Bacterial small subunit ribosomal RNA", at positions 1 to 541 of the family's 1533-position model. Lineage: Bacteria; Pseudomonadati; Pseudomonadota; Gammaproteobacteria; Alteromonadales; Shewanellaceae. The record is from RNAcentral.